AAUGAACGCUGGCGGCGUGCUUAACACAUGCAAGUCGAACGAGAACGCCUCAGCUUGCUGAGGCAAGUAAAGUGGCGCACGGGUGAGUAACGCGUGGGUAAUCUACCUCCGAAUUGGGGAUAACAUUGCGAAAGCGGUGCUAAUACCGAAUAAUAUCCUCAAGACUCAGGUUUUGAGGACCAAAGGUGGCCUCUACAUGUAAGCUACUGUUUGGAGAUGAGCCCGCGUACCAUUAGCUUGUUGGUGGGGUAACGGCCUACCAAGGCUGCGAUGGUUAGCUGGUCUGAGAGGAUGAUCAGCCACACUAGAACUGACACAACGGUCCAGACUCCUACGGGAGGCAGCAGUGAGGAAUUUGUCGCAAUGGGGAAA
RNAcentral lists this ribosomal RNA (372 nucleotides) under uncultured bacterium. Its description in RNAcentral is "bacterial SSU rRNA". It matches the Rfam family "Bacterial small subunit ribosomal RNA", at positions 29 to 379 of the family's 1533-position model. The record is from RNAcentral.